GGUUUUAGUUAUAGAUGCAGGUGUGUAAUCUCUUCUUAUUUUUGUUAUGGUCUAGCGAACGGAGCUGCAGAAAAUCCUCCUGGUAAGUGUUGCUUUGCUUGCCACAUGAAAUUCUUGCUGAUUCCUCUUUAUUUCUUCUUCAUUUAGGAUGGGCAAAAGAAUUUGAUAAACCAUCUCAUUUACUUGAGAGGCCAUCACUCUUUGGAGCACUGGUUCAGGAGUAUGCCAACCGUUCAGCUGGAUUAUGAUGAACCAGGUUUUUUUUUUUUUCCCUGCUGCUGCUAAUCUUGUGAAGACCACAACCUGAUUUGCUCAAGAUGUCAUUCCACUUAGCUUCAAAAGAAGAUCCUUCUCAUUUAAAUGUACCAGAAAAUUAUAUCUAAAUUUUCAUUUCCCAUUAUACUUUGAUCGUAAUGUAAUGAUCAAAUCAUAGAAAACAUGAUUAGUGUUAUUGAUAGUUAAUGUAAGUAAACGAUGUUAGCGUCUCUCAUCUUUGGAAGAACAUCAAUUAUCUAAUGUACUAGUUCCAAUGAUCAAUAUAUUAUUCUAGGACUGCGUCAUCUGG
This 565-nucleotide unclassified non-coding RNA is filed under the name Hevea brasiliensis (rubber tree). The record is from RNAcentral. Lineage: Eukaryota; Viridiplantae; Streptophyta; Magnoliopsida; Malpighiales; Euphorbiaceae.